UCAUAGGCUUUCUGCAUAUCUGUUUUUAAAAUAAGGUUGAAACGUUUCUUACAUGCUCGCACUUUGAAUUGAUGCAUGACUUCUUGAACCACCAUAAUGUUGUCCUGUAUCUGUCUGUUGCUAAUAAAUGCUGCUUGCUCUGUGGAAAUCAAGUUUGAUAGCCAUGGUUUGAGUCUGUUGGCCAGAAUUUUUGAAAUGAUCUUGUAAGCAAAGUUACAAAGACUUAUAGGACGGAAUUGCUCAAUACUCUCUGGAUGCUGAACUUUAGGAAUUAGGGCUAUGAUCGUUCUGUUUAGUCUUGUUGGCAUAAUACCUGUAUCGAAAAAGUCAUGAACUGUUUGAAUAACUGUAUCUUUAAUAACAUUCCAGUGAUGCCGGUAGAAAAGGCCAGGGAGACCAUUAGGGCCCGGAGACUUCGAAGCUCCUAACUGGCAAGUGGCUAGGUAAAUCUCCUCCUCUGUUACUCUACGCUGCAAGUGUGCAUUCAUAUCAGGUGUUACUACCGGAGGGCACUGUUCUAAGAAAGGACGGAAAUUCCUGUAGCCCUGAGAUCUGUAAAGCUGAGAGAAAAAGCCCUGCGCAAGAUCUUUUAACUGAUCUGGUUCUCGGAUCCACUGAUGUUGAGAUUGUAAGUGUGAGAUGCGUUGAUGACCAUUGUUGAAUCGGCCCCUGCUCCAACUUGCUAACCUGGUGGCAACCGCCUGUAAUUUGGAUAACAAGGAGGGGACAGUGAUCGGAGCCAACAGGAGGUAGUGCAAAAACUUCUGCAGAAGGGUGAGAUGUCAGCCAUUCCAGUGAGCAGAACACCCGAUCGAGCUUCUCCUUUACGAGAG
Long non-coding RNA from Eucalyptus grandis, 833 nucleotides. RefSeq lists it as uncharacterized. The record is from RefSeq and is a predicted model, not a curated record. NCBI's taxonomy places the organism in Eukaryota, Viridiplantae, Streptophyta, Magnoliopsida, Myrtales, Myrtaceae. The transcript has 3 exons.